GGUUAAGUAGUUCACAAGACCGUCAAAUGUCCGUGUCACCGCGGGCGUCGGAUACUGACGCCCCCCCGGUGACACGUGUCCCUGCGUGUCCCUGUGCGUCCUCUCCCGAUGCGCUGGGGCACCCUGAUCGUCAUAUUUUGACGCUUGGUCACACGCGUCAUUAUUUGACGCUUUGGGUGUGAGGAUGUGUUGUCAGCGUAACUGUGGAAAUUCACUCCGCGUCUCCUGAUGACGCCGCCCAGAGGGAGCAUAUAGAGGUUAAAAAGCACUGUGCCUAAGACUGAACCCUGGGGCACACCACAAGUGAUGCUGUGGACCCCAGAGGAACAGGUAUCCAAACUCACCAUAAAACUCCUGUCUGUGAGGUAGGAAGUGAACCAUCUAUGAACAGCACCAGAACAGCAAUCACAGCAUGAUGUGUGAAGCCAAAGUGCACCGAUCUGGUGCAGGUACCGAUCCGGUUCAGGUACCGACCCGGUGCAGGUACCAAUCUGGUUCCUGCACCUGCUGCAUGGUUUCUCCACAGCAGCAGGUGAGGUCCAGGUACCGAUCCGGUCCAGGUACUGAUCUGGUUCAGGUACCGAUCCAGUUCAGGUACCGAUCCGGUGUACCGAUCCGGUGCAGGUACUGAUCUGGUUCAGGUCCCGAUCCGGUGUACCAACCUGGUGCAGGUACCGAUCCAGUUCCUGCAUCUGCUGCAUGGUUUCACCACAGCAGUAGGUGAGGUCCAGGUACCGAUCCGGUCCAGGUACUGAUCCGGUUCCUGCACCUGCUGCAUGGUUUCUUCACAGCAGCAGGUGAGGUGCAGGUACCGAUCAGGUGUACCGAUCCAGUUCAGGUACUGAUCCGGUUCAGGUACCAAUCCGGUUCCUGCACCUGCUGCAUGGUUUCUCCACAGCAGCAGGUGAGGUCCAGGUACCGAUCCAGUUCAGGUACCAAUCCAGUGCAGGUACCGAUCCGGUUCAGGUAUUGAUCCAGUUCCUGCACCUGCUGCAUGGUUUCUCCACAGCAGCAGGUGAGGUGCAGGUACCGAUCAGGUGCAGGUACGGAUCCGGUAUACCGAUCCAGUUCAGGUCCCGAUCUGAUGCAGGUACUGAACCGGUUCAGGUACCAAUCCAGUGUACCGAUGUGGUGCAGGUACCGAUCCGGUUCCUGCACCAGUCAUCGGGAGCUGCUGAUGAUUGGAGCAGAAAGCUGCAACAGGAAAUCAGACAUGAUGGAUCUGAAACCCAGGUUUUCCACGUGACGCGCCUGCCUCUCACAAGCACGAGGGAAAAGCCUUCGGUGGAGUAUGACGUCACUCACAUGGAUUAUAUUACUGAUGAUGUUCUAGUGAACAGGAGGGACGAACCUU
This is a non-coding RNA of Nothobranchius furzeri (turquoise killifish), 1354 nucleotides long. Lineage: Eukaryota; Metazoa; Chordata; Actinopteri; Cyprinodontiformes; Nothobranchiidae. The record is from RefSeq and is a predicted model, not a curated record.